Haliotis rubra (blacklip abalone) is the source of this 128-nucleotide long non-coding RNA. RefSeq lists it as uncharacterized. The transcript is spliced from 4 exons. Lineage: Eukaryota; Metazoa; Mollusca; Gastropoda; Lepetellida; Haliotidae. The record is from RefSeq and is a predicted model, not a curated record.
UGGGGCUCUGCGGCGAAAUAUAACAUAUGUCCCAGGGCCUAGAUUUUCGAAGCCGUCUUAGCGCUAAAACAGUCUUAAGUUAAUGUUAAUGUAUGGCACUUACGACUAUCUUAGCGCUAAGAGAGCUU